AGUGAACGCUGGCGGUAGGCCUAACACAUGCAAGUCGAACGGCAGCACAGUAAGAGCUUGCUCUUACGGGUGGCGAGUGGCGGACGGGUGAGGAAUACAUCGUAAUCUACUUUUUCGUGGGGGAUAACGUAGGGAAACUUACGCUAAUACCGCAUCCGACCUACGGGUGAAAGCAGGGGAACUUCGGACCUUUCGCGAAUGGAUGAGCCGAUGGCGGAUUUGUUAGUUGGGGGGGUAAAUGCCCACCAAGGCGACGGUCCGUAGCUGGUCUGAGAGGAUGAUCAGCCACACUGGAACUGAGACACGGUCCAGACUCCUACGGGAGGCAGCAGUGGGGAAUAUUGGACAAUGGGCGCAAGCCUGAUCCAGCCAUACCGCGUGGGUGAAGAAGGCCUUCGGGUUGUAAAGCCCUUUUGUUGGGAAAGAAAAGCAGCAGGUUAAUACCCCGCUGUUCUGACGGUACCCAAAGAAUAAGCACCGGCUAACUUCGUG
Molecule: ribosomal RNA, 492 nt
Filed under: uncultured bacterium
Lineage: Bacteria
Description: partial 16S ribosomal RNA
Rfam family: Bacterial small subunit ribosomal RNA
Source: RNAcentral